This 174-nucleotide small nuclear RNA is filed under the name Labrus bergylta (ballan wrasse). RNAcentral's name for it is "U2 spliceosomal RNA (ENSLBEG00000027823.1)". It matches the Rfam family "U2 spliceosomal RNA". Rfam says of the family: U2 is a small nuclear RNA (snRNA) component of the spliceosome (involved in pre-mRNA splicing). Complementary binding between U2 snRNA (in an area lying towards the 5' end but 3' to hairpin I) and the branchpoint sequence (BPS) of the intron results the bulging out of an unpaired adenosine, on the BPS, which initiates a nucleophilic attack at the intronic 5' splice site, thus starting the first of two transesterification reactions that mediate splicing. The record is from Rfam by way of RNAcentral. Lineage: Eukaryota; Metazoa; Chordata; Actinopteri; Labriformes; Labridae.
GUCGCUUCUCUGCCUUUUGGCUAAGAUCAAGUGUAGUAUUCUUAUCAGUUUAAUAUCUGUUUCUUUGAAUUGCUCCCGGGGACAAAUAACGUUUUUUUGAAUUUAAAUUGAAUUUGAAUGCAAUCCAGAAAGGAAUGUGACAUUAACGAUGGAGUCAGUAGCUUUUCAAUCAUA